This 460-nucleotide ribosomal RNA is filed under the name uncultured bacterium. RNAcentral describes it as "partial 16S ribosomal RNA". It matches the Rfam family "Bacterial small subunit ribosomal RNA", at positions 338 to 795 of the family's 1533-position model. The record is from RNAcentral.
CCUACGGGAGGCUGCAGUGAGGAAUAUUGGUCAAUGGACGCAAGUCUGAACCAGCCAUGCCGCGUGCAUGAAGAAGGCUCUAUGAGUUGUAAACUGCUUUUGUACGAGGGUAAAUCCCGAUAAGUGUAUCGGGUUGAAAUUAUCGUACGAAUUAGGAUAGGCUAACUCCGUGCCAGCAGCCGCGGUAAUACGGAGGAUUCAAGCGUUAUCCGGAUUUAUUGGGUUUAAAGGGAGCGUAGGCCGCAUGUCAAGCGUGCUGUGAAAUGUCCGGGCUCAACCCGGGCCUUGCAGCGCGAACUGGCGUGCGUGAGUCCGCGGAAAGCAGGCGGAAUUCGUCGUGUAGCGGUGAAAUGCUUAGAUAUGACGAAGAACCCCGAUUGCGAAGGCAGCUUGCUGCAGCGGAACUGACGCUGAUGCUCGAAAGCGCGGGUAUCGAACAGGAUUAGAUACCCCAGUAGUC